RNAcentral lists this ribosomal RNA (253 nucleotides) under uncultured bacterium. RNAcentral describes it as "partial 16S ribosomal RNA". It matches the Rfam family "Bacterial small subunit ribosomal RNA", at positions 524 to 776 of the family's 1533-position model. The record is from RNAcentral.
UACGUAGGGUGCGAGCGUUAAUCGGAAUUAUUGGGCGUAAAGAGCUCGUAGGCGGUUUGUCGCGUCUGCUGUGAAAACUCAGGGCUUAACCCUGAGCUUGCAGUGGGUACGGGCAGACUAGAGUGCGGUAGGGGAGACUGGAAUUCCUGGUGUAGCGGUGAAAUGCGCAGAUAUCAGGAGGAACACCGGUGGCGAAGGCGGGUCUCUGGGCCGUAACUGACGCUGAGGAGCGAAAGCGUGGGUAGCAAACAGG